Molecule: non-coding RNA, 26 nt
Filed under: Bombyx mori (domestic silkworm)
Lineage: Eukaryota; Metazoa; Arthropoda; Insecta; Lepidoptera; Bombycidae
Source: RNAcentral
CCAUAUGGGAUCGUGAAAUUAUGGAA